UACGAAGGGGGCUAGCGUUGUUCGGAAUUACUGGGCGUAAAGCGUGCGCAGGCGGCUUCUCAAGUCAGGGGUGAAAGCCCAGAGCUUAACUCUGGAAUUGCCUUUGAGACUGAGAGGCUUGAGUACGGGAGAGGUGAGUGGAAUUCCCAGUGUAGAGGUGAAAUUCGUAGAUAUUGGGAAGAACACCGGUGGCGAAGGCGGCUUACUGGCCCGUAACUGACGCUCAUGCACGACAGCGUGGGGAUCAAACAGG
This 253-nucleotide ribosomal RNA is filed under the name uncultured bacterium. RNAcentral describes it as "partial 16S ribosomal RNA". It matches the Rfam family "Bacterial small subunit ribosomal RNA", at positions 524 to 776 of the family's 1533-position model. The record is from RNAcentral.